GCAGAGCUCGUAUCGAGCUCACAAUCAGCGAUUCACUGCGUGCAUUUUCGUGAGUGUAUUUGCCUUCAUUUUUAAGGUAGGCAACCGCGAGCCUGAGCCUGUGCGAGCAUUGAUAGUCGUCUCUAAAUGAGGAUGCAUCUUCACAAACCACCGCUUGAAGCAUGGUAUUUAAUAUCACCAUUUUGUUAUGAAGGAAUCCGGUUUUGCUCACACUGUAAAUAAAGUCGAACUUGUUUCAUCCAAAAAAUCAUAAAAUGACGAUGCAUCAGUUUCCGAUUGAUACCGUGAUCCUCCUAACUCUUAAAGUUGAAACUUCACAAAAAUCCUUUUUCUAUGAUGCCAAACUGAACCAAUUAAUUCUUUCGGAAUUUUUCCAGAUGUCACAAACCAAGGGACUCACUAUUUUCCUGGCUUCCGGCUUCAGAAACUUCUCUGGGUGAAAUUGGGCAUUUCUACUUUUGUUCAUGGGAAGUGUUCGCCUAUUUCUGGAGAAUCUCAUCAAGUACGGGAUACGGGUUGAUCCUCAGCAAUGGUUCACUGUGCUGCUUGAUGAUGCCGCUGGAAGGCACCACCAUUUCCAUCCGUCUCUUAUUCUUUUAAUUUUUACCAGUGUCCCUGUCAUGUUCUGUUUACUCAUGAAAAAGGUUUACACCAGGAGGUGAUUCCAAAUCGAGUCGGAAUGACAGCUCAUGUCGUGAACCUGAUGGUUUUAGUUUUGACGCCGAUAGUGGCUCUGCAGCCUCUACCAUCUUACUUUAGCUUGGGUAAGUAAUAAACGAACCGUAGGUUAUACUGCCGCACGCCGCACUGAGGAAGACACCGUAUGAACCACGAGGCGUUGCAAAAUUUCCUUUCAUAAAACGCAAAUUUUUGGGAACCACCAGAGUAAAUAUUAUUCUCCAAAUUGUUAGAAAUUUGGGUCGCAAUUUA
This 930-nucleotide long non-coding RNA is filed under the name Bemisia tabaci. RNAcentral describes it as "lncRNA ENSSWEETPG013165". The record is from RNAcentral. Lineage: Eukaryota; Metazoa; Arthropoda; Insecta; Hemiptera; Aleyrodidae.